UACGAGGGGGGCAAGCGUUGUUCGGAAUUAUUGGGCGUAAAGGGCGCGUAGGCGGUUUGGCAAGUUUGGUGUGAAAUCUUCGGGCUCAACUCGAAGUCUGCAUCGAAAACUGCCGGGCUUGAGUAUGGGAGAGGUGAGUGGAAUUUCCGGUGUAGCGGUGAAAUGCGUAGAUAUCGGAAGGAACACCUGUGGCGAAAGCGGCUCACUGGACCAUGACUGACGCUGAGGCGCGAAAGCUAGGGGAGCAAACAGG
RNAcentral lists this ribosomal RNA (253 nucleotides) under uncultured bacterium. Its description in RNAcentral is "partial 16S ribosomal RNA". It matches the Rfam family "Bacterial small subunit ribosomal RNA", at positions 524 to 776 of the family's 1533-position model. The record is from RNAcentral.